RNAcentral lists this ribosomal RNA (424 nucleotides) under uncultured eukaryotic phytoplankton. RNAcentral's name for it is "bacterial SSU rRNA". It matches the Rfam family "Bacterial small subunit ribosomal RNA", at positions 358 to 795 of the family's 1533-position model. The record is from RNAcentral.
GGAAUUUUCCGCAAUGGGCGAAAGUCUGACGGAGCGACGCUGCGUGAAGGAUGACGGCCUGCGGGUUGUAAACUUCUUUUCUCGAAGAAGAAGCUCUGACGGUAUUCGAGGAAUAAGCAUCUGCUAACUCCGUGCCAGCAGCCGCGGUAACACGGAGGAUGCAAGUGUUAUUCGGGAUGAUUGGGCGUAAAGCGUCUGUAGGCUGUAUAGAAAGUCUUUUGUUAAAUGCCUCGGCUCAACCGAGAUCCAGCAAAGGAAACUUCUAUACUUGAGGGAAGUAGAGGUACAGGGAAUUCCCGGUGGAGCGGUGAAAUGCGUAGAUAUUGGGAGGAACACCAAUAUGGCGAAGGCACUGUACUGGGCUUUACCUGACGCUCAGAGACGAAAGCUAAAGGAGUGAUUAGGAUUAGAUACCCCAGUAGUC